ACUCAAAUGAAUUGACGGGAACCUGCACAAUCAGUGGAGCAUGUGGUUUAAUUCGAGACGAACCGAAGAACCUUACCCGGGUUUGACAUUUUAUCGUUUUAGGUCACUAGAAACAGAGACUGAUCUUUUAGAAAUAAAAGAUGAUAGAACAGGUGUUGCAUGGCCGUCGUCAGCUCGUGUCGUGGGAUGUUCCCUUCAGUGGGGUAACGAGCGCAACCCCUAUCGAAUGUUGAAUUGUUCAUUCGAGACUUUUGUUAUUUUUAACGAAGGAAGUGGGGACGACGUCAGGUCAGCAUGGCCCUUAUGUCCGGGGCAACACACAUGCUACAAUGAAGCCGACAAUGGGUUGCCAAGCCGUAAGGCGGAGCUAAUCCCAUCAAACGGCUUCUCAGUGGGGAUUGAGGGCUGCAACUCGCCCUCAUGAACGUGGAAUUGAUAGUAAUCGGAGGUCAGCUAUACUCCGGUGAAUACGUUCUCAGGUUUUGUACACACCGCCCGU
RNAcentral lists this ribosomal RNA (499 nucleotides) under uncultured bacterium. RNAcentral describes it as "partial 16S ribosomal RNA". It matches the Rfam family "Bacterial small subunit ribosomal RNA", at positions 899 to 1397 of the family's 1533-position model. The record is from RNAcentral.